Camellia sinensis is the source of this 1043-nucleotide non-coding RNA. The record is from RefSeq and is a predicted model, not a curated record. NCBI's taxonomy places the organism in Eukaryota, Viridiplantae, Streptophyta, Magnoliopsida, Ericales, Theaceae.
UUAAAGUUGCUCCACCAGUCUGUACUGCUAUUUUCUCUGUUUCUCUCCACUCACACACACAGCUUGAAGAAGAUGUCAAGAAGAAGAGUUUCUAUUUCUUCCAUUAUUGGACGAAGAAAAAGAAGAAGAAUUGCUGAUCAUAAUUGUCAAAAAGAGUGGUCGUUUGCCAGAUGAUGUCACGUACAACACUAUUAUCUGAGGAUUUAUUAGACAGCACAAGUGCUAUGAGGCAUUAAUACUCCUUGAGGAAAUGGCUCAAAGGGGUUUUUCGGUAGAUGCAUCCAAUUCUUCCUUGAUCGUAGAUAUACUCCCAACUAAAGGACAAGAUCCUGCUCUUCGAGAAGUGAUAAAGAAGUUCAUGCCAAAAGAUAGUCAUGGAAUGCAUGAUACUGAGUAAAUUUCCUAAGCUAUGAAGGUGGCAAUGUAGCAUCAUCUUCUCCAGCAAGUGAUUGAGUGGACAAGCUUUGUCUGUGUAUGAAGCUUUGUGUAUCGUGUCUAUGGUGAAGCUCCGUGUGAGACAGCAGCAGAACAACAACAACAACAGCAACAAGAAGAAGAUCAAGAUCAAGAAAUAAUUUGUGGCAGCGGAGUGAAGGUUAAGAAGAGAGAAUAAAAUUUUAAGAAAAGCAAAGGUUGAUGUCCUGAUACACAGUGAAAAGAAGCUGAUUGCCAAGACAUAUCUACAAGAAAGCUUAGAAGCAUUUUUAGGUACAAAGCUGUACAAGCAACUAAAGUCCAAUGCUGACGGAGCUCAGAUCAGUUUUACUUUCAGCAGGUGAGAAACAACAUUUAACAACAGAAUUCCAUAUCUGGGAAGCUUUACUUGUCUUGCUGUGGAAUACCAUAAAGUUGCACACAAAUUUUCAUGUAAAUUUGAAUUCCGAGUUGGCUCGUUUACAUGGCUAUUUAGGUUUCUAGAGCUUGUUAAUACAAUGGCUAUUUGAUGUCUACACUGUAAUGUGGUGGUUAAGGGAGCCUAUAUUUGAAUCUGUCUUUUGAGCCAGUCUUUUUUAAUUAAUUUCAAGACUACUAAAUAUUAUUCA